Schistocerca americana (American grasshopper) is the source of this 612-nucleotide long non-coding RNA. RefSeq lists it as uncharacterized. The transcript is spliced from 2 exons. NCBI's taxonomy places the organism in Eukaryota, Metazoa, Arthropoda, Insecta, Orthoptera, Acrididae. The record is from RefSeq and is a predicted model, not a curated record.
GAGGCUUUUCAAAUUUACUAUUUGGAUGAUUUUUCCCAUCAAAAUAAUGAUGCCUGUUGUGCAAGAAAAAGUAACUUUUUCACGCCACUUUUGUGAACUGAGUAUCUAGGCUACAAUAUAACAAUUUAUCAAGUACAAAUACAUAAUCAUGUCACGAAUUCCGUGUUGGCAACGCCAUAUAAUCGGCACAUGUUUUACGCACGCUGUUCCGAUACAUAUUCGAUCUUUGUUUUCACAGGCUACAAACAAGUCUGUGAUGUCCAGAUCAACAUCCUAGAAUGAAGUACAGGGUCCGCUGUUCGACCACGGGACAGGGCAGCCUGCCCUGAGUCAUGAAAGCAGCCGCCGCUGGAGCAGAGAGCCGCCCGCUCGCUGGAGGGAGGCCAAGGCUGCUCCCAUGGAAUUGUCAGCUGUGCUGCCAUGCUGUCAUCAUGGUUGCAGCCAGAGACAUCACUAACAGCUGCAUUCAAGUGACACCAUGCUCAGCCCUGCCCUUUGCACCGUCAGCAAUGCCAGACGUCUAUUGUUUUGCAUUAGGCAACUGUACACUUCCACCAACCUGUUCCUGCUGUACUAUCGCCAAGGGCUGGAAUAAAGAGGUUAAUUAAACAA